GGUGGCAAGUGAUGAUUUUCUUGAAUCUUAUCCUACACACUGAUGCGCAGUGCUGACUAUAUUACUCUGCUUAUUGUCUGAUGCCUCG
This is a non-coding RNA of Eucalyptus grandis, 88 nucleotides long. NCBI's taxonomy places the organism in Eukaryota, Viridiplantae, Streptophyta, Magnoliopsida, Myrtales, Myrtaceae. The record is from Rfam.